RNAcentral lists this ribosomal RNA (253 nucleotides) under uncultured bacterium. RNAcentral describes it as "partial 16S ribosomal RNA". It matches the Rfam family "Bacterial small subunit ribosomal RNA", at positions 524 to 776 of the family's 1533-position model. The record is from RNAcentral.
UACGUAGGGGGCAAGCGUUAUCCGGAUUUACUGGGUGUAAAGGGAGCGUAGACGGUUCGAUAAGUCUGGUGUGAAAGCCCGGGGCUCAACCCCGGGACUGCAUUGGAAACUGUCGAACUAGAGUGCAGGAGAGGUAAGUGGAAUUCCUAGUGUAGCGGUGAAAUGCGUAGAUAUUAGGAGGAACACCAGUGGCGAAGGCGACUUACUGGACUGUUACUGACGUUGAGGAUCGAAAGCGUGGGGAGCAAACAGG